CAGAUUCAUUCAGACUGCUAUGCUCUCCUCAACGUGGCUAGAGACUGACUCAGACUGAAUGCCAGCUCUGAGACCCUGCUCCUGUCUUUUAUACCUCCCUAAUGCUGGGAUUGAGGGCGUGUGAUCCCAAAGGCUGAGAUCACCUUUUUGUGUGAGCUGUUUCUCUUUAGGACUGGAUCAGUGGACUUGAACUAACGGAGAUCCAUCUACUUCUACCUCCUAAGCAGUGGGAUUAAAAAUUCAAAGUGGAGCCAGGACACCGUAUUUUUAACAGCCACCCCCUCUUAGUUGCCAAAGGACUUGGUUGUGUACAGCCAGGCUGGAGCCAACAGUGGGCCCAGAAGGAGGAAUCGUGAGAUUCCUGUGUCACAGGAAAGAUUUGGGAGCCAGGCCAAAUGCGUCCAUCUGGGCUUCAGCUUAGAAGCCGCUGCCCUGCGUCUGGACCCUUAGAUGAAACUGCAGGUGCACUGGCCCAGCACCUACGCUGCGACAGCUCCGACUGAGCCACCACUCGACGCGGUAGCUGACUCUGGCACAUGGUAGAUUUUGUCUGACACUCUUGUGACCUGUCCGAGUCCCUAGUCCAUGUGGCACGGAAGGACUGGGGUGGACUUACAUAUCACUAUAGGACUGCCCAUGGUGGUUAGACAAUCCUAUUAGGAAGCCAUCCUUAUCCUUAUGACUGUCCCUUCAAUUGCUCUAGUUGCUUAAACUGUAAGAGACCACUACACACUAGGCCCAUGGACCUGAGCUGGGCACGACAGUGAAUUUCUGCAAGAGAGCUGAGCACGUGGAGCAGGCCUCUCCCAGGAGUUGGCACUUAUGCUGAACCUGGUGUGACAAGAGGAGCCCAGUGCUAAGAAUGGAACUGUUUCCCCUCUGAAGUCAGUGGAUGACACUCUCUGGGUGGUCUCUCUGUCACACUUGUCAGCACCAGAGCAUCAGAGUCUGGUGGGAGAGCCAGAAGCCCCAAGAAGCCUGCUGAUACCCAAGGGCACUGACUCUGAGGUCCUGACUCCAGCUGGUCUCAUCCAGGCAGCUGCUUUAGUUAAUUAAGCCUGGGACUGAGUUCUAGGAGGGGACAAGGUAUGAAGGAUUAUGUGAGUGUCUGUCUGAUCUAGCCUCAGGAAAGGAGAGACCAAGGGUGGAGACGGCUCUAACCCAGCAUAGGCCACUUGCCUUCCUGGCCUUGACACUGCUCUGUCUAGCUGCUGAGAGGUUUUUCUGGUGUUAACAUUGGGCUUCUCCAGAAAUUCAAAGACUCCCAGACUCUUCCAGCGGGCCCCAAGCAAUCACACAGCAAAGGAAGCCUGGGCAUUGAAAGAACAUAGUUCCCCCAUGAACACAUGGAAUAGUGGUACCAGAGCCGGGGUCAGACGGCACAAAGCUGAGAGCACAGUGCCUCAGUCCUGUGAGACAAAGCCAGCCCUGGACACAGCAUGUCUCGGGAGCUGAGGGCAUGGGAACCCUCAGGGCACCUGAGGGCAGAGGUGGACAGGAAGCCCUGAAAGUGGAACCCUCUGCCCAGCACAGGGGAGGGUGUGGGACCCAGUGACCACAGUGGACAGAGCCCAGCUUUGUUCCAGAGCAGACAUAGCUUCUUAGCCUGCAGGCACGCAAUCCUGAGAGGAUGAGUGAAGUCCUCAGAUGAGAAAGGCAUUCUAAAGAUAUCCUUCAGCCAAAUAAAGCCAAAUGAAACCAA
Mesocricetus auratus (golden hamster) is the source of this 1702-nucleotide long non-coding RNA. RefSeq lists it as uncharacterized. The record is from RefSeq and is a predicted model, not a curated record. NCBI's taxonomy places the organism in Eukaryota, Metazoa, Chordata, Mammalia, Rodentia, Cricetidae. The transcript is spliced from 3 exons.